Molecule: unclassified non-coding RNA, 342 nt
Filed under: soil metagenome
Description: partial contains 5.8S ribosomal RNA, internal transcribed spacer 2, and large subunit ribosomal RNA
Rfam family: 5.8S ribosomal RNA (bases 1-120)
Source: RNAcentral
GAUGAAGAACGUAGUGAAAUGCGAUAAGUAAUGUGAAUUGCAGAAUCCAGUGAAUCAUCGAAUCUUUGAACGCACAUUGCGCCCGCCAGCAUUCUGGUGGGCAUGCCUGUUCGAGCGUCAUUUCAACCCUCGACCUCCCUUUGGGGAAGUCGGCGUUGGGGACCGGCAGCACACCGCCGGCCCUGAAAUGGAGUGGCGGCCCGUCCGCGGCGACCUCUGCGUAGUAAUCCAACUCGCACCGGAACCCCGACGCGGCCACGCCGUAAAACACCCAACUUCUGAACGUUGACCUCGAAUCAGGUAGGACUACCCGCUGAACUUAAGCAUAUCAAUAAGCGAGGA